Molecule: ribosomal RNA, 490 nt
Filed under: uncultured bacterium
Lineage: Bacteria
Description: partial 16S ribosomal RNA
Rfam family: Bacterial small subunit ribosomal RNA
Source: RNAcentral
AUUGAACGCUGGCGGCAGGCCUAACACAUGCAAGUCGAACGGUAACAGGAAGAAGCUUGCUUCUUUGCUGACGAGUGGCGGACGGGUGAGUAAUGUCUGGGAAACUGCCUGAUGGAGGGGGAUAACUACUGGAAACGGUAGCUAAUACCGCAUAAUGUCGCAAGACCAAAGAGGGGGACCUUCGGGCCUCUUGCCAUCGGAUGUGCCCAGAUGGGAUUAGCUAGUAGGUGGGGUAACGGCUCACCUAGGCGACGAUCCCUAGCUGGUCUGAGAGGAUGACCAGCCACACUGGAACUGAGACACGGUCCAGACUCCUACGGGAGGCAGCAGUGGGGAAUAUUGCACAAUGGGCGAAAGCCUGAUGCAGCUAUGCCGCGUGUAUGAAGAAGGCCUUCGGGUUGUAAAGUACUUUCAGCGGGGAGGAAGGGAGUAAAGUUAAUACCUUUGCUCAUUGACGUUACCCGCAGAAGAAGCACCGGCUAACUCCGUG